CACGUAGGGUGCGAGCGUUGUCCGGAAUUAUUGGGCGUAAAGAGCUCGUAGGCGGCCUGUUGCGUCCGCUGUGAAAUCCCGGGGCUUAACCCCGGGCGUGCAGUGGAUACGGGCAGGCUGGAGGCAGGCAGGGGAGAACGGAAUUCCCGGUGUAGCGGUGAAAUGCGCAGAUAUCAGGAGGAACACCGGUGGCGAAGGCGGCAUCCUGGACCGGUAUUGACGCUGAGGCGCGGAAAGCCAGGGGAGCAAACGGG
RNAcentral lists this ribosomal RNA (254 nucleotides) under uncultured bacterium. RNAcentral describes it as "partial 16S ribosomal RNA". It matches the Rfam family "Bacterial small subunit ribosomal RNA", at positions 524 to 776 of the family's 1533-position model. The record is from RNAcentral.